AUUGAACGCUGGCGGCAGGCCUAACACAUGCAAGUCGAACGGUAACAGGAAGAAGCUUGCUUCUUUGCUGACGAGUGGCGGACGGGUGAGUAAUGUCUGGGAAACUGCCUGAUGGAGGGGGAUAACUACUGGAAACGGUAGCUAAUACCGCAUAAUGUCGCAAGACCAAGGAGGGGGACCUUCGGGCCUCUUGCCAUCGGAUGUGCCCAGAUGGGAUUAGCUAGUAGGUGGGGUAACGGCUCACCUAGGCGACGAUCCCUAGCUGGUCUGAGAGGAUGACCAGCCACACUGGAACUGAGACACGGUCCAGACUCCUACGGGAGGCAGCAGUGGGGAAUAUUGCACAAUGGGCGCAAGCCUGAUGCAGCUAUGCCGCGUGUAUGAAGAAGGCCUUCGGGUUGUAAAGUACUUUCAGCGGGGAGGAAGGGAGUAAAGUUAAUACCUUUGCUCAUUGACGUUACCCGCAGAAGAAGCACCGGCUAACUCCGUG
Molecule: ribosomal RNA, 490 nt
Filed under: uncultured bacterium
Lineage: Bacteria
Description: partial 16S ribosomal RNA
Rfam family: Bacterial small subunit ribosomal RNA
Source: RNAcentral